Oncorhynchus keta (chum salmon) is the source of this 814-nucleotide long non-coding RNA. RefSeq lists it as uncharacterized. The record is from RefSeq and is a predicted model, not a curated record. Lineage: Eukaryota; Metazoa; Chordata; Actinopteri; Salmoniformes; Salmonidae. The transcript has 4 exons.
UCUGGUUUAGGUUAAAAAAAAUUGUGUUAGUGUUAGAAUUAAGUUUAGGGUUAUGAGCUAGGGUUCAUUUUAGGGUUAGGAGCUACGGUUAGGGUUAGGAUUUAGGGUUAUGGUUAUGGUAAGAGUACAGGUUAUGGUUAGGUUUUAGGGUUAUGGUUAUGGUAAGAGUACAGGUUAGGGUUAGGUUUUAGGGUUAUGGUUAUGGUAAGAGUACAGGUUAGGGUUAGGUUUUAGGGUUAUGGUUAUGGUAAGAGUACAGGUUAGGGUUAGGUUUUAGGGUUAUGGUUAUGGUAAGAGUACAGGUUAGGGUUAGGUUUUAGGGUUAUGGUUAUGGUAAGAGUACAGGUUAGGGUUAGGUUUUAGGGUUAUGGUUAUGGUAAGAGUACAGGUUAGGGUUAGGUUUUAGGGUUAUGGUUAUGGUAAGAGUACAGGUUAGGGUUAGGUUUUAGGGUUAUGGUUAUGGUAAGAGUACAGGUUAGGGUUAGGUUUUAGGGUUAUGGUUAUGGUAAGAGUACAGGUUAGGGUUAGGUUUUAGGGUUAUGGUUAUGGUAAGAGUACAGGUUAGGGUUAGGUUUUAGGGUUAUGGUUAUGGUAAGAGUACAGGUUAGGGUUAGGUUUUAGGGUUAUGGUUAUGGUAAGAGUACAGGUUAGGGUUAGGUUUUAGGGUUAUGGUUAUGGUAAGAGUACAGGUUAGGGUUAGGUUUUAGGGUUAUGGUUAUGGUAAGAGUACAGGUUAGGGUUAGGUUUUAGGGUUACGGUUACGGUAAGAGUACAGGUUAGGGUUUAGGGAAAAUAGGGUGUUUAAUGGGACUGA